UACGUCGGCGCGAGUUGUUGACGUGGCAGCAAAACGGGUCCUUGAGGGCGCAAUUUGUUGCCAUGUCAGCAACUCGUGCUGACGUGG
Gossypium raimondii (Peruvian cotton) is the source of this 87-nucleotide microRNA precursor. It matches the Rfam family "MIR7486 microRNA precursor family". Lineage: Eukaryota; Viridiplantae; Streptophyta; Magnoliopsida; Malvales; Malvaceae. The record is from Rfam.